This 467-nucleotide ribosomal RNA is filed under the name uncultured bacterium. RNAcentral's name for it is "partial 16S ribosomal RNA". It matches the Rfam family "Bacterial small subunit ribosomal RNA", at positions 28 to 506 of the family's 1533-position model. The record is from RNAcentral.
GACGAACGCUGGCGGCGUGCUUAACACAUGCAAGUCGAACGGAAAGGCCCUGCUUUUGUGGGGUGCUCGAGUGGCGAACGGGUGAGUAACACGUGAGUAACCUGCCCUUGACUUUGGGAUAACUUCAGGAAACUGGGGCUAAUACCGGAUAGGAGCUCCUGCUGCAUGGUGGGGGUUGGAAAGUUUCGGCGGUUGGGGAUGGACUCGCGGCUUAUCAGCUUGUUGGUGGGGUAGUGGCUUACCAAGGCUUUGACGGGUAGCCGGCCUGAGAGGGUAACCGGCCACAUUGGGACUGAGAUACGGCCCAGACUCCUACGGGAGGCAGCAGUGGGGAAUAUUGCACAAUGGGCGGAAGCCUGAUGCAGCAACGCCGCGUGCGGGAUGACGGCCUUCGGGUUGUAAACCGCUUUCGCCUGUGACGAAGCGUGAGUGACGGGAAUGGGUAAAGAAGCACCGGCUAACUACGU